AGUCUGCAACUCGACUACAUGAAGCUGGAAUCGCUAGUAAUCGCGAAUCAGAAUGUCGCGGUGAAUACGUUCCCGGGUCUUGUACACACCGCCCGUCACACCAUGGGAGUCGGAUAUGCCCGAAGUCAGUGACCCAACCAUAUGGAGGGAGCUGCCGAAGGUGGAGCCGAUAACUGGGGUGAAGUCGUAACAAGGUAAC
Molecule: ribosomal RNA, 199 nt
Filed under: uncultured bacterium
Lineage: Bacteria
Description: partial 16S ribosomal RNA
Rfam family: Bacterial small subunit ribosomal RNA
Source: RNAcentral